RNAcentral lists this ribosomal RNA (468 nucleotides) under uncultured bacterium. RNAcentral's name for it is "partial 16S ribosomal RNA". It matches the Rfam family "Bacterial small subunit ribosomal RNA", at positions 28 to 507 of the family's 1533-position model. The record is from RNAcentral.
GACGAACGCUGGCGGCGUGCUUAACACAUGCAAGUCGAACGGAAAGGCCCUGCUUUUGUGGGGUGCUCGAGUGGCGAACGGGUGAGUAACACGUGAGUAACCUGCCCUCGACUUUGGGAUAACUUCAGGAAACUGGGGCUAAUACCGGAUAGGAGCUCCUGCUGCAUGGUGGGGGUUGGAAGGUUUCGGCGGUUGGGGAUGGACUCGCGGCUUAUCAGCUUGUUGGUGGGGUAGUGGCUUACCAAGGCUUUGACGGGUAGCCGGCCUGAGAGGGUGACCGGCCACAUUGGGACUGAGAUACGGCCCAGACUCCUACGGGAGGCAGCAGUGGGGAAUAUUGCACAAUGGGCGGAAGCCUGAUGCAGCAACGCCGCGUGCGGGAUGACGGCCUUCGGGUUGUAAACCGCUUUCGCCUGUGACGAAGCGUGAGUGACGGUAAUGGGUAAAGAAGCACCGGCUAACUACGUG